Molecule: ribosomal RNA, 513 nt
Filed under: Monstrotyphis carolinae
Lineage: Eukaryota; Metazoa; Mollusca; Gastropoda; Neogastropoda; Muricidae
Description: partial 16S ribosomal RNA
Rfam family: Bacterial large subunit ribosomal RNA
Source: RNAcentral
GGCUCCUUGUUGAGUAAAAAUAGGGAGUCGGACCUGCCCAGUGAAAUAUUUUUAACGGCCGCGGUACUCUGACCGUGCAAAGGUAGCAUAAUCAUUUGCCUUAUAAUUGAAGGCUUGUAUGAAUGGUUUGACAAGAAUGUAGCUGUCUCUUUAUAAUUAAGCAGAAUUUUAUUUAUGGGUGAAGAAGCCUAUAUUAUAUUGAAAGACAAGAAGACCCUGUCGAGCUUUAAAAAAGUUAGUAAACUUUAAAUUUUAAUACUAUGUAAAAAUUUAGUUACUAAAAAUUUUAGUUGGGGCGACUGAGGAACAAAUAAAGCUUCCUUUAAUUAAAUUUAAACACACAAGUUAUGAUCCAAAAAUUUUGAUUAAAGAAUUUAGUUACCGUAGGGAUAACAGCAUAAUCCUUUUUGAGAGCUCUAAUCGAAAAGAGGGCUUGUGACCUCGAUGUUGGACCAGAAUGUCCUGAAGAUGCAGCCGUCUUCAAAGGUUGGUCUGUUCGACCAUUAAAAUUCU